RNAcentral lists this ribosomal RNA (482 nucleotides) under Bacillus cereus. Its description in RNAcentral is "bacterial SSU rRNA". It matches the Rfam family "Bacterial small subunit ribosomal RNA", at positions 1 to 470 of the family's 1533-position model. Lineage: Bacteria; Bacillati; Bacillota; Bacilli; Caryophanales; Bacillaceae. The record is from RNAcentral.
UUUAUUGGAGAGUUUGAUCCUGGCUCAGGAUGAACGCUGGCGGCGUGCCUAAUACAUGCAAGUCGAGCGAACGGAUUAAGAGCUUGCUCUUAUGAAGUUAGCGGCGGACGGGUGAGUAACACGUGGGUAACCUGCCCAUAAGACUGGGAUAACUCCGGGAAACCGGGGCUAAUACCGGAUAAUAUUUUGAACUGCAUAGUUCGAAAUUGAAAGGCGGCUUCGGCUGUCACUUAUGGAUGGACCCGCGUCGCAUUAGCUAGUUGGUGAGGUAACGGCUCACCAAGGCAACGAUGCGUAGCCGACCUGAGAGGGUGAUCGGCCACACUGGGACUGAGACACGGCCCAGACUCCUACGGGAGGCAGCAGUAGGGAAUCUUCCGCAAUGGACGAAAGUCUGACGGAGCAACGCCGCGUGAGUGAUGAAGGCUUUCGGGUCGUAAAACUCUGUUGUUAGGGAAGAACAAGUGCUAGUAAGUGCUAGU